This 253-nucleotide ribosomal RNA is filed under the name uncultured bacterium. RNAcentral describes it as "partial 16S ribosomal RNA". It matches the Rfam family "Bacterial small subunit ribosomal RNA", at positions 524 to 776 of the family's 1533-position model. The record is from RNAcentral.
UACGUAGGGUGCGAGCGUUAAUCGGAAUUACUGGGCGUAAAGCGUGCGCAGGCGGUUCGUCGUGUCGGCGGUGAAAGCCCCGGGCUUAACCUGGGAAUGGCCGUCGAAACUGGCGAACUGGAGUGUGGCAGAGGGGGGUGGAAUUCCGCGUGUAGCAGUGAAAUGCGUAGAGAUGCGGAGGAACACCGAUGGCGAAGGCAGCCCCCUGGGCUGACACUGACGCUCAUGCACGAAAGCGUGGGGGGCAAACAGG